This 82-nucleotide transfer RNA is filed under the name Metarhizium album. RNAcentral describes it as "tRNA-Ser". Lineage: Eukaryota; Fungi; Ascomycota; Sordariomycetes; Hypocreales; Clavicipitaceae. The record is from RNAcentral.
GGAAAAGUACCCAUAGGUAAGGUAAUGUAUUUGCUCUAUACUGUGCUAUCUGCACUUAGGUGUUCGAUUCACCUCUUUUCCG